Molecule: ribosomal RNA, 342 nt
Filed under: Triticum aestivum (bread wheat)
Lineage: Eukaryota; Viridiplantae; Streptophyta; Magnoliopsida; Poales; Poaceae
Description: partial small subunit ribosomal RNA
Source: RNAcentral
AUGGCUGUUCCAGCUGCGCCCAUGGCCGUCGGCGCUCUCCAUGCACAACGCCCCACCACACCGCCCCUCUCGCUUCCGUGGAUGAGGGAGAGCUGCGUGAGCACCGCAACAGGACUGCUCGCCGGGGAAGAUUGCCGUGGCAUGGCUGGCCAUGGUGGCAAGCAGUGGUUGCGGUGGGAUGGGAUUGAAAUUAGAGAGAUUGGGGAAAGGGAUUGGGGAAUGAGUGGUCGGGCAGCUCGCCGGGGGAAGAUUGCCGUGGCAUGGCUGGCCAUGGUGGCAAGCAGCGGUUGCGGUGGGAUGAGAUUGAAACUAGAGAGAUUGGGGGAAGGGAUUAGGGAAUGA